UUAAAUUGAAGAGUUUGAUCAUGGCUCAGAUUGAACGCUGGCGGCAGGCCUAACACAUGCAAGUCGAACGGUAGCACAGAGAGCUUGCUCUCGGGUGACGAGUGGCGGACGGGUGAGUAAUGUCUGGGAAACUGCCUGAUGGAGGGGGAUAACUACUGGAAACGGUGGCUAAUACCGCAUAACGUCGCAAGACCAAAGAGGGGGACCUUCGGGCCUCUUGCCAUCAGAUGUGCCCAGAUGGGAUUAGCUUGUUGGUGAGGUAACGGCUCACCAAGGCGACGAUCCCUAGCUGGUCUGAGAGGAUGACCAGCCACACUGGAACUGAGACACGGUCCAGACUCCUACGGGAGGCAGCAGUGGGGAAUAUUGCACAAUGGGCGCAAGCCUGAUGCAGCCAUGCCGCGUGUAUGAAGAAGGCCUUCGGGUUGUAAAGUACUUUCAGCGGGGAGGAAGGUGUUGUGGUUAAUAACC
This 471-nucleotide ribosomal RNA is filed under the name Salmonella enterica subsp. enterica serovar Oranienburg. RNAcentral's name for it is "bacterial SSU rRNA". It matches the Rfam family "Bacterial small subunit ribosomal RNA", at positions 1 to 468 of the family's 1533-position model. RNAcentral also lists the same sequence under 1 other name. Lineage: Bacteria; Pseudomonadati; Pseudomonadota; Gammaproteobacteria; Enterobacterales; Enterobacteriaceae. The record is from RNAcentral.